This 431-nucleotide ribosomal RNA is filed under the name uncultured bacterium. RNAcentral's name for it is "partial 16S ribosomal RNA". It matches the Rfam family "Bacterial small subunit ribosomal RNA", at positions 29 to 507 of the family's 1533-position model. The record is from RNAcentral.
AGCGAACGCUGGCGGCAGGCUUAACACAUGCAAGUCGAGCGCCCCGCAAGGGGGGCGGCCGACGGGUGGGUACCGCGUGGGCACGUACCUUUUGGUUCGGAACAACUCCGGGAAACUGGAGCUAAUACCGGAUAAGCCCUAACGGGGAAAGAUUUAUCGCCGAAAGAUCGGCCCGCGUCUGAUUAGCUAGUUGGUGAGGUAACGGCUCACCAAGGCGACGAUCAGUAGCUGGUCUGAGAGGAUGAUCAGCCACACUGGGACUGAGACACGGCCCAGACUCCUACGGGAGGCAGCAGUGGGGAAUAUUGGACAAUGGGCGCAAGCCUGAUCCAGCCAUGCCGCGUGAGUGAUGAAGGCCUUAGGGUUGUAAAGCUCUUUUGUCCGGGAAGAUAAUGACUGUACCGGAAGAAUAAGCCCCGGCUAACUUCGUG